UUCAAAUGAUUAAUAACAUAUAUUUGCUACUUCAGAGGAGACCAUCAAGCUCCAAUGAGACAUUUUAUUAUCACCAAGAUCUCUGAUGAU
Molecule: small nucleolar RNA, 90 nt
Filed under: Huiozyma naganishii CBS 8797
Lineage: Eukaryota; Fungi; Ascomycota; Saccharomycetes; Saccharomycetales; Saccharomycetaceae
Description: Kazachstania naganishii CBS 8797 Small nucleolar RNA SNORD24
Rfam family: Small nucleolar RNA SNORD24
About the family: U24 is a member of the C/D class of snoRNA which contain the C (UGAUGA) and D (CUGA) box motifs. C/D box snoRNAs have been shown to act as methylation guides for a number of RNA targets. U24 is encoded within an intron of the gene for ribosomal protein L7a in mammals, chicken and Fugu.
Source: Rfam by way of RNAcentral